CUUCCCUGUGUGCUUCCUCUUCAGCUCCCUCGCGCACCGCACUGAUACCGGAGCCGGAAGAUGACGUCAUUUUCCGGCGCCGGCAUCCCUAUGCGGCGCGCAAGGGAGCUGAAGAGGAAGCACACAGGGGAG
This 132-nucleotide microRNA precursor is filed under the name Pelobates cultripes (western spadefoot toad). Lineage: Eukaryota; Metazoa; Chordata; Amphibia; Anura; Pelobatidae. The record is from RNAcentral.